RNAcentral lists this ribosomal RNA (749 nucleotides) under Phlegmacium pansa. Its description in RNAcentral is "eukaryotic LSU rRNA". The stretch from base 260 to 413 matches the Rfam family "5.8S ribosomal RNA". The record is from RNAcentral. Lineage: Eukaryota; Fungi; Basidiomycota; Agaricomycetes; Agaricales; Cortinariaceae.
GUGAACCUGCGGAAGGAUCAUUAUUGAAAUAAACCUGAUGAGUUGCUGCUGGUUCUCUAGGGAGCAUGUGCACACUUGUCAUCUUUAUAUCUCCACCUGUGCACCUUUUGUAGACCUGGAUAUCUCUCUGAAUGCUAGCCACUCAGGUUUGAGGAUUGACUUUAUGUCUCUCCUUGCAUUUCCAGGCCUAUGUUUCUUUAUAUACCCAAUGUAUGUCAUAGAAUGUAAUCAAUGGGCCUUUGUGCCUAUAAACCUAUACAACUUUCAGCAACGGAUCUCUUGGCUCUCGCAUCGAUGAAGAACGCAGCGAAAUGCGAUAAGUAAUGUGAAUUGCAGAAUUCAGUGAAUCAUCGAAUCUUUGAACGCACCUUGCGCUCCUUGGUAUUCCGAGGAGCAUGCCUGUUUGAGUGUCAUUAAUAUAUCAACCUCUUCAACUUUUGUUUGUCGGGUGUUGGAUUUGGGGGUCUUUUUUGCUGGCCCUAAGGUCAGCUCCCCUGAAAUGCAUUAGCAGAACAAUUUGUGAACCGUUCAUUGGUGUGAUAACUAUCUACGCUGUUGACGUGAAACAAGUUCAGCUUCUAACAGUCCAUUGACUUGGACAACUUUUCAUUAAUGUGACCUCAAAUCAGGUAGGACUACCCGCUGAACUUAAGCAUAUCAAUAAGCGGAGGAAAAGAAACUAACAAGGAUUCCCCUAGUAACUGCGAGUGAAGCGGGAAAAGCUCAAAUUUAAAAUCUGUCAGUCUUUG